This 597-nucleotide ribosomal RNA is filed under the name uncultured bacterium. RNAcentral's name for it is "bacterial SSU rRNA". It matches the Rfam family "Bacterial small subunit ribosomal RNA", at positions 76 to 652 of the family's 1533-position model. The record is from RNAcentral.
CCCUUCGGGGAGAAAGUAGAGUGGCGCACGGGUGAGUAACACGUGGGUAAUUUACCUUCGGGUGGGGAAUAACAGUCGGAAACGACUGCUAAUACCGCAUGAUGCAGCGGCACCACAUGGUGACAGUUGUUAAAGCGGGGGAUCGCAAGACCUCGCGCCUGAAGAGAAGCCCGCGGCAGAUUAGCUAGUUGGUAAGGUAAUGGCUUACCAAGGCAACGAUCUGUAGCCGGCCUGAGAGGGCGGUCGGCCACACUGACACUGAAUAACGGGUCAGACUCCUACGGGAGGCAGCAGUCGGGAAUUUUGGGCAAUGGGCGAAAGCCUGACCCAGCAACGCCGCGUGAAGGAUGAAGUAUUUCGGUAUGUAAACUUCACAAGAAUGGGAAGAAUAAGUGGGGGAUAACACCCCCCAUGAUGACGGUACCAUUUGUAAGCUCCGGCUAACUCCGUGCCAGCAGCCGCGGUAAUACGGGGGGAGCAAGCGUUGUUCGGAUUUACUGGGCGUAAAGGGCGCGUAGGCGGCSCAACAAGUCACUUGUGAAAUCUCCGGGCUUAACCCCGGAGCGGUCAAGUGAUACUGUCGUGCUAGAGUGCAGA